UACAUGGGGUGCAAACGUUGCUCGGAAUUAUUGGGCGUAAAGCGCACGUAGGUGGUCCCUUAAGUCGAACGUGAAAUCCCCGGGCUCAACCCGGGAACUGCGUCCGAUACUGGCUGGCUUGAAUCCGGGAGAGGGAUGCGGAAUUCCAGGUGUAGCGGUGAAAUGCGUAGAUAUCUGGAGGAACACCGGUGGCGAAGGCGGCAUCCUGGACCGGCAUUGACGCUGAGGCGCGAAAGCCAGGGGAGCAAACGGG
This 253-nucleotide ribosomal RNA is filed under the name uncultured bacterium. RNAcentral describes it as "partial 16S ribosomal RNA". It matches the Rfam family "Bacterial small subunit ribosomal RNA", at positions 524 to 776 of the family's 1533-position model. The record is from RNAcentral.